AGCGAACGCUGGCGGCAGGCUUAACACAUGCAAGUCGAGCGGGCACUUCGGUGUCAGCGGCAGACGGGUGAGUAACACGUGGGAACGUACCCUUUGGUUCGGAAUAACGCUGGGAAACUAGCGCUAAUACCGGAUACGCCCUUUUGGGGAAAGGCUUGCUGCCGAAGUAUCGGCCCGCGUCUGAUUAGCUAGUUGGUGGGGUAAUGGCCUACCAAGGCGACGAUCAGUAGCUGGUCUGAGAGGAUGAUCAGCCACACUGGGACUGAGACACGGCCCAGACUCCUACGGGAGGCAGCAGUGGGGAAUAUUGGACAAUGGGCGCAAGCCUGAUCCAGCCAUGCCGCGUGAGUGAUGAAGGCCUUAGGGUUGUAAAGCUCUUUUGUCCGGGACGAUAAUGACGGUACCGGAAGAAUAAGCCCCGGCUAACUUCGUG
Molecule: ribosomal RNA, 433 nt
Filed under: uncultured bacterium
Lineage: Bacteria
Description: partial 16S ribosomal RNA
Rfam family: Bacterial small subunit ribosomal RNA
Source: RNAcentral